RNAcentral lists this transfer RNA (80 nucleotides) under Klebsiella pneumoniae. RNAcentral's name for it is "tRNA-Tyr". It matches the Rfam family "tRNA". From Rfam's summary of the family: Transfer RNA (tRNA) molecules are approximately 80 nucleotides in length. Their secondary structure includes four short double-helical elements and three loops (D, anti-codon, and T loops). Lineage: Bacteria; Pseudomonadati; Pseudomonadota; Gammaproteobacteria; Enterobacterales; Enterobacteriaceae. The record is from RNAcentral.
GUGGGGUUCCCGAGCGGCCAAGGGAGCAGACUGUAAAUCUGCGUCAUCGAUUCGAAGGUUCGAAUCCUUCCCCCACACCA